UGUUAUUUUUUUCGUUAAAUAUUGAAACAACUAGGGGACUUUUGUCCCGAAUAUGCAGUUUGUCAGAGGUCAUUCAGUGUAACGGGAUCAGGAAACCAUUUUGAAAUUAAAUAAACAAACAAUAGUCAUCAAGCAGUCUGUGACAUCAUCAAAAGACCCCCUGAAGACCAUGUGGUGAUUCAGCAAGAUGCCCACAAACAAAAAGUUUCUAGGCACUGGCAGAAAGUUAAUGCAGACCCAGUAGCUAGGGCAAUGCAUUUAGCAAGGAGACGAGAAAGGUAUUGAGGAGUGCAAUGUAAAAAUAAUAGGGCUGGGUUUAAAAAGAUAGAUUUCUCGAUUUUAAUCAAUUCUAAUUUUGAAGAAACUAUAGUGAUUUGUAAAUCACAAUAAUCGAUCUUUCAGUCUAUGCUGUUUUCAGAUGAUGUUAAUCAAUAUCAAAUUGAUUUGAAAUUGAAUCAAAUCGUGAAAUUUGUGUCCAAGCCUAGCCCUACAGAAUAAUAGUUUACUGCUGUUUUUAGAUAGAGACUCCACCCUACCUAUACCACAAGUUAAAGGGAUAGUUCACCCAAAAUGAAAAUUUGGUCAUUAUUCACUCACUCUCAUGUUGGUAAAAACCUGUAUGAAUUUUUUUGUUCUGAUAAACACAAAGGAAGAUAUUUUGAGUAAUGUUUGUAACCAAACCGUUCGUGGACCCCAUUUACUUCCAUAGUAUUAUUUUUAGUAUCAUAGUAUGGGGUCCACAAAAGGUUUGGUUACAAACAUUUCUCAAAAUAUCUUCCUUCCAUUUAUGCGGGUUUGAAACAACACGAGAGUGAGUAAAUGAUGACAGAAUUUUCAUUUUUGGGUGAACUAUCCCUUUAAGAGAGGCCACUGAGGGGAUUCUCCGCCCAUAAUACAAAUCCUGAUAACAUGUCAUUUAUGUUGCCAAACAGAAAGUAUUUUUAAUUAAUAACACGUUUUAUAUAGAUCUAUGUCAAUAAUUUUAUGUCAAUAAUUACAUGGAAUCUGUAUUUCAGCAACCAGAGAAGAAAGCAAGCUGCCUUGGCUGCAAAUCCUGAUCACCCGUCAAUCAGGAAUUUAUCAGAUGCUGCAGCUGAGAAGAGGCAAAAGCAAUGGCGGGAAAAUCAAAGUAAACACAGGGCAGAAGCUAAACGUAUAAGGGCAGUUCUGGAUCUUAUUAUACAGUAUUACCACCUGUUCAGUUAAUUUUUACGAAUAUGAUAUGUAUUGUGGAAUAAAAUGAUUAUUAAUUUCA
Misgurnus anguillicaudatus (oriental weatherfish) is the source of this 1255-nucleotide non-coding RNA. Lineage: Eukaryota; Metazoa; Chordata; Actinopteri; Cypriniformes; Cobitidae. The record is from RefSeq and is a predicted model, not a curated record.